This 208-nucleotide ribosomal RNA is filed under the name uncultured Lysobacteraceae bacterium. RNAcentral describes it as "uncultured Xanthomonadaceae bacterium partial 16S ribosomal RNA". It matches the Rfam family "Bacterial small subunit ribosomal RNA", at positions 568 to 775 of the family's 1533-position model. Lineage: Bacteria; Pseudomonadati; Pseudomonadota; Gammaproteobacteria; Lysobacterales; Lysobacteraceae. The record is from RNAcentral.
UGCGUAGGUGGUCUGUCAAGUCCGAUGUGAAAGCCCUGGGCUCAACCUGGGAACUGCAUUGGAAACUGGCAGUCUGGAGUGCGGUAGAGGGUAGCGGAAUUCCCGGUGUAGCAGUGAAAUGCGUAGAUAUCGGGAGGAACAUCCGUGGCGAAGGCGGCUACCUGGACCAGCACUGACACUGAGGCACGAAAGCGUGGGGAGCAAACAG